GCCCAUUUCAAAAUGCGGUCAAAACGGCGGGAAUGACCGUUCCUAGCUAGUGGUUGAAUCUUGGAAAACUUUUGGUGUUUCUCUGAUUAAAUAGAUACUUAUGUACCUAGAAAUUAUUUUUGUAAAAAAUAAAUAGCAAACUAUGAGGCAGCUGUAGUUCAAAUUUGACCCGCUUCCAACUGAAUCGACAAAUUUUUUUCUUUUUCAUGAGAGGUGGAUCAAAACUUUUUACACCCAACCAUUUUGUCAAUUGUGCAUUAAAUAUGUCCUAGUAUUUUAGAAAAUUUAUUUGGUCCAAUUUUGCAACAAUUAUUUGGUAGUUCUUUCACAAAAAAACCUCCUUUCGGGCACUCGGAAAAUGAAAAAUGGUUUUUUCGUCCAAAGAAAAUGAAAACUUCCUUAGGCAACAUUGUUUGCCAUUCCAAUAUGCACCCUUGUGCACAAUAUGAGAUCAUUUGAACAAACUAUGCCACGAAUGUGGCCAUAAGAUUGAUCAUUUGGCUUGAAAGCCAUGAAUCUUCAGAGAUGAUAGCUCAUUUUUGAGAACACUUUUUUAAAAUAAUUGCCGUAUUACAAUUUGUUAUUUUUCUUGGGAACUUGGCCACAUAUAAUGACACAAUGCGAAGGUUUCCCAAUUUUUUGAUUUUUUUGAAUUUUUUAUGCCCAUUUCAAAAUGCGGUCAAAACGGCGGGCUUGGCCGUUCCUAGCUAGUGGUUGAAUCUUGGAAAUUUUUUGGUGUUUCUCUGAUUAAAUAGAUACUUAUGUACCUAGAAAUGAUUUUUGUAAAAAAUAAAUAGCAAACCAUGAGGCAGCUGCAGUUCAAAUUUGACCCGCUUCCAACUGAAUCGGCGGGAAUUUGUCUUUUUCACGAGAGGUGGAUCAAAACUUUUU
This 891-nucleotide long non-coding RNA is filed under the name Triticum aestivum (bread wheat). RNAcentral describes it as "long non-coding RNA (TAES_LNC001973)". The record is from RNAcentral. Lineage: Eukaryota; Viridiplantae; Streptophyta; Magnoliopsida; Poales; Poaceae.